UACGUAGGGUGCAAGCGUUAAUCGGAAUUACUGGGCGUAAAGCGUGCGCAGGCGGUGAUGUAAGACAGUUGUGAAAUCCCCGGGCUCAACCUGGGAACUGCAUCUGUGACUGCAUCGCUGGAGUGCGGCAGAGGGGGAUGGAAUUCCGCGUGUAGCAGUGAAAUGCGUAGAUAUGCGGAGGAACACCGAUGGCGAAGGCAAUCCCCUGGGCCUGCACUGACGCUCAUGCACGAAAGCGUGGGGAGCGAUCCGG
This 253-nucleotide ribosomal RNA is filed under the name uncultured bacterium. RNAcentral describes it as "partial 16S ribosomal RNA". It matches the Rfam family "Bacterial small subunit ribosomal RNA", at positions 524 to 776 of the family's 1533-position model. The record is from RNAcentral.